Molecule: ribosomal RNA, 390 nt
Filed under: uncultured bacterium
Lineage: Bacteria
Description: bacterial SSU rRNA
Rfam family: Bacterial small subunit ribosomal RNA
Source: RNAcentral
ACUCAAUAGAUACCCAGGUAGUCCACGCCCUAAACGAUGUCUACUAGUUGUCGGGUCUUCAUUGACUUGGUAAACGCAGCUAAACGCGUGAAGUAGACCGCCUGGGGAGUACGGUCGCAAGAUUAAAACUCAAAGGAAUUGACGGGGACCCGCACAAGCGGUGGAUGAUGUGGAUUAAUUCGAUGCAACGCGAAAACCUUACCUACCCUUGACAUGGUCGGAACCCUGAAGAGAUUCGGGGUGGCUCGAAAGAGAACCGAUACACAGGUGCUGCAUGGCUGUCGUCAGCUCGUGUCGUGAGAUGUUGGGUUAAGUCCCGCAACGAGCGCAACCCUUGUCAUUAGUUGCUACGAAAGGGCACUCUAAUGAGACUGCCGGUGACAAACCGGA